CAAAGUGUAGCUUAACCAAAGCAUCUGGCUUACACCCAGAAGAUUUCAUAUACUAUGACCACUUUGA
RNAcentral lists this transfer RNA (67 nucleotides) under Melogale moschata (Chinese ferret-badger). RNAcentral describes it as "tRNA-Val". It matches the Rfam family "tRNA". Rfam says of the family: Transfer RNA (tRNA) molecules are approximately 80 nucleotides in length. Their secondary structure includes four short double-helical elements and three loops (D, anti-codon, and T loops). RNAcentral also lists the same sequence under 1 other name. The record is from RNAcentral. Lineage: Eukaryota; Metazoa; Chordata; Mammalia; Carnivora; Mustelidae.